Molecule: ribosomal RNA, 369 nt
Filed under: uncultured organism
Description: bacterial SSU rRNA
Rfam family: Bacterial small subunit ribosomal RNA
Source: RNAcentral
CGUAGGUGGCAAGCGUUGUCCGGAUUUAUUGGGUUUAAAGGGUGCGUAGGCGGCCCUGUAAGUCAGUGCUGAAAUAUCCCGGCUUAACCGGGAGGGUGGCAUUGAUACUGCAGGGCUUGAGUAAAGUUGAGGUUGGCGGAAUUGACGGUGUAGCGGUGAAAUGCUUAGAUAUCGUCAAGAACACCGAUAGUGAAGACAGCUAACUAAGCUUUAACUGACGCUGAGGCACGAAAGUGUGGGGGAUCAAACAGGAUUAGAUACCCUGGUAGUCCACACUGUAAACGUUGAUUACUCGAUGUUGGCGAUACACAGUCAGCGUCUUAGCGCAAGCGAUAAGUAAUCCACCUGGGGAGUACGCCGGCAACGGUG